CAGUAGCCGCGGGAAUACGAGGGGGGCAAGCGUUGUUCGGAAUUAUUGGGCGUAAAGGGUGCGUACGUGGUUUGGCAAGUCUUGUGUGAAAUCUUCGGGCUCAACCCGAAGCCUGCACGAGAAACUGCCGGGCUUGAGUAUUGGAGAGGUGAGUGGAAUUUCCGGUGUAGCGGUGAAAUGCGUAGAUAUCGGAAGGAACACCUGUGGCGAAAGCGGCUCACUGGACAAUUACUGACGCUGAGGCACGAAAGCUAGGGGAGCAAACAGGAUUAGAUACCCGCGUAGUCCCUGUCUCUUAUAC
RNAcentral lists this ribosomal RNA (301 nucleotides) under uncultured bacterium. RNAcentral's name for it is "partial 16S ribosomal RNA". It matches the Rfam family "Bacterial small subunit ribosomal RNA", at positions 509 to 807 of the family's 1533-position model. The record is from RNAcentral.